CAUCUCAUUCGCAUUCGAGAGGGUGAUGAAUGGAAAACGGCAUUCAAAACCCACUUUGGUCAUUUUGAGUAUCUGGUUAUGCCCUUUGGCCUCUGCAAUGCCCCCGCCACCUUUCAGAAUCUGCAUGGAUGAGCACCGCCGGCAUGUCAGAUUGGUCCUCCAAAGGGCGGGCAGGUGAAGACGGACCUGGCUAAGAUCAAGGCUGUUGAGGAAUGGCCGGUUCCGAACUCCAGAAAGCAACUCCAGCGCUUUCUGGGGUUCGCUAAUUUCUACCGGCGGUUCAUCCGAAACUUCAGUGUCAUCGCAACCCCUCUGACCAGUCUGACCUCCACCAAACACCCAUUCAGCUGGACCCCAGAGGCCGGACUUGCUUUUGUUGAGCUAAAGAGAAGGUUUGUGGAUGCUCCCAUUCUCAUUCAUCCUGACCCUUCUGCUCAAUUUACAGUGGAGGUGGAUGCAUCUGAAACAG
Molecule: long non-coding RNA, 469 nt
Organism: Gambusia affinis (western mosquitofish)
Lineage: Eukaryota; Metazoa; Chordata; Actinopteri; Cyprinodontiformes; Poeciliidae
Exons: 3
Source: RefSeq, a predicted model, not a curated record